RNAcentral lists this transfer RNA (92 nucleotides) under Daldinia sp. EC12. It matches the Rfam family "tRNA". From Rfam's summary of the family: Transfer RNA (tRNA) molecules are approximately 80 nucleotides in length. Their secondary structure includes four short double-helical elements and three loops (D, anti-codon, and T loops). Further hydrogen bonds mediate the characteristic L-shaped molecular structure. tRNAs have two regions of fundamental functional importance: the anti-codon, which is responsible for specific mRNA codon recognition, and the 3' end, to which the tRNAs corresponding amino acid is attached (by aminoacyl-tRNA synthetases). tRNAs cope with the degeneracy of the genetic code in two manners: having more than one tRNA (with a specific anti-codon) for a particular amino acid; and 'wobble' base-pairing, i.e. permitting non-standard base-pairing at the 3rd anti-codon position. The record is from Rfam by way of RNAcentral. Lineage: Eukaryota; Fungi; Ascomycota; Sordariomycetes; Xylariales; Hypoxylaceae.
GGGUUCAUGGCCUAAUGGUAAGGCGUCAGAUUUCGGUUCCGUCUGGAUAUUCCGCUCUCUGAAGAUUGCAGGUUCGAUCCCUGCUGAGCUCG